UUACCCGACCAAGUAACCCGUGCCAACCAUACCCUUUCCUGCCCAAUAUCUCCGGGAAACUGGAAUUAAUACCGCAUACUCCCUACGGGGGAAAGAUUUAUCGGGGAAGGAUUGGCCCGCGUUGAAUUACCUAGUUGGUGGGGUAAAGGCCUACCAAGGCGACAAUCCAAAUCUGGUCUGAAAGGAUGAUCACCCCCAUUGGGACUGAAACACGGUCCAACCUUCUACGGGAGGCAGCAGGGGGGAAUAUUGGACAAGGGGCGCAAGCCUGAUCCAGCCUUGCCGCGGGAGUGAUGAAGGCCUUAGGGUUGUAAAGCUCUUUCACCGGAAAAAAUAAUGACGGUUUCCGGAGAAAAAGCCCCGGCUAACUUCGUGCCAGCAGCCGCGGUAAUACAAAGGGGGCUAGCGUUGUUCGGAAUUACGGGGCGUAAAGCGCACGUAGGCGGAUAUUUAAGUCAGGGGUGAAAUCCCAGAGCUCACCUCUGGAACUGCCUUUGAUACUGGGUAUCUGGAGUAUGGAAGAGGUAAGUGGAAUUCCGAGUGUAGAGGUGAAAUUCGUAGAUAUUCGGAGGACCACCAGUGGCGAAGGCGGCUUACUGUUCCAUUACUGACGCUGAGGUGCGAAAGCGUGGGGAGCAAACAGGAUUAGA
RNAcentral lists this ribosomal RNA (650 nucleotides) under Agrobacterium tumefaciens. RNAcentral's name for it is "bacterial SSU rRNA". It matches the Rfam family "Bacterial small subunit ribosomal RNA", at positions 95 to 782 of the family's 1533-position model. Lineage: Bacteria; Pseudomonadati; Pseudomonadota; Alphaproteobacteria; Hyphomicrobiales; Rhizobiaceae. The record is from RNAcentral.